AUACGUAGGGGGCAAGCGUUGUCCGGAUUUAUUGGGCGUAAAGGGUACGCAGGCGGUUUUUUAAGUCAGAUGUGAAAUCUUACGGCUCAACCGUAAUCAGCAUUUGAAACUGGAAGACUUGAGUUAAGGAGAGGAAAGUGGAAUUCCUAGUGUAGCGGUGAAAUGCGUAGAUAUUAGGAGGAAUACCAGUGGCGAAGGCGGCUUACUGGACGAUAACUGACGCUGAGGCUCGAAAGCGUGGGGAGC
RNAcentral lists this ribosomal RNA (246 nucleotides) under uncultured bacterium. Its description in RNAcentral is "partial 16S ribosomal RNA". It matches the Rfam family "Bacterial small subunit ribosomal RNA", at positions 523 to 769 of the family's 1533-position model. The record is from RNAcentral.